AUUGAACGCUGGCGGCAUGCCUUACACAUGCAAGUCGAACGGUAACAGGUCUUCGGAUGCUGACGAGUGGCGAACGGGUGAGUAAUACAUCGGAACGUGCCUAGUAGUGGGGGAUAACUACUCGAAAGAGUGGCUAAUACCGCAUGAGAUCUACGGAUGAAAGCAGGGGAUCGCAAGACCUUGUGCUACUAGAGCGGCCGAUGGCAGAUUAGGUAGUGGGUGGGAUAAAAGCUUACCAAGCCGACGAUCUGUAGCUGGUCUGAGAGGACGAUGAGCCACACGGGGACUGAGACACGGCCCAGACUCCUACGGGAGGCAGCAGUGGGGAAUUUUGGACAAUGGGCGAAAGCCUGAUCCAGCAAUGCCGCGUGCAGGAUGAAGGCCUUCGGGUUGUAAACUGCUUUUGUACGGAACGAAAAGCCCCGGGUUAAUACCCUGGGGUCAUGACGGUACCGUAAGAAUAAGCACCGGCUAACUACGUGCCAGCAGCCGCAGUAA
This 498-nucleotide ribosomal RNA is filed under the name uncultured bacterium. RNAcentral's name for it is "partial 16S ribosomal RNA". It matches the Rfam family "Bacterial small subunit ribosomal RNA", at positions 30 to 523 of the family's 1533-position model. The record is from RNAcentral.